UUUGAAGCUCAGCCAAAAGCUGAAACUGAUCUAUUUUGGAUGAGGGACUCAGCUUUCCUGGCUUAGGUGGGUUUUGGCCAAAACCACUUUAUUAAAAACUUGAAGCUUUUUUAUGAGUAUCAAUGUAAAAUAUCGGAUCUAGGAUUCUACCUCCGAAAAUGCAAAUGGACUUUGUGGUUAUUGUCUCUCAUGGCUAAGGCCUCUGAAGGGGCCCUUAUUGCAGUUUAUUCGCCAGCUGUUAGGCAUGGAGAUAAGCCUUUGUAUCGUGUAACACUGGUUGAGCAAACAAAACAGAGGAACACUUUUUUCUUAUCAGCUGGACUAGCCUCUUUACACUUAGCAAUUAUGGCAACUCUUUUCCUGUCCCAGGUGUUUCACAAUCAUAACAGGCACCAUACUUGUAAUUUGGAUUUUGAAGCCUCUUUUGAUCCACAAGUAACUCCAAAUGCAGCCCUCGAUCUACAUCAAAGCCUGACACAUUUUCCAAUGUCUAUUAGGUGAUAUUUAGAGAUUUUGGAGCAGUUGACACCAUAUUUGCUGUAGGAAUAAGAAAGAGUUGUAGUAGUAUGGAAUGGUAAUGGAAAAUUGGGUACCAAAAUUGUCAUUCCCAUAUCAUUGUUUGGGCACGAAAUAAGAGGGUGCAUUGGAAUGGAAUGGUACUUUCGCUUAAUGUUUGAUUAGUUUUAUUGUAUAAUAAAAUGUCAUUAGUUUUACGUUAAUUUUGAGCAUAUAACCUUGAACAAGAAUAGGUCCUAAGUUUAAUGGAGCAGCUAUUAACAUGUCCACUCUAACAUUUUCUUGUGUAUGCAUAUCAUGCUUCUAAAUAAUGGUUUUUUUUUUGUGCAUAUAACCCCAUAAAAUUUAUUCUAAUUGCAUGCAACACCCAUAGCUGUUCCUAUUUGCUACAUGAUACAAAUAACCCUCAAUGAACUCUUACCUUUAUGAAGGGUUCAUGGUAUAACUUGAACAUGGUUUAUGGUUGGUUAAACUAGCUUAUGGUGGAAGGAAGUCUGGCUGCAAUCAUAUAAGGGCAGGACUUGAACGCAAACCAUUGCGUCAUACCAAUUUAUAGUUUUGAGUGUUAGGUGUGGGUACUUUAGGCUAAAUCAAAGAGGUCAAGCAACACAGAUGUUUGCUGCAUUGUAGACGUGAAAGAGGUUUAUGUUGCAUAAUGGACUUGAAAGAGGUUUAUUUCUUUGCCCCCCUUCUUUUUUCUCCUCUCAUUUUUUUUUUAAUUUCUUGAGAACUAGGUUGGGAAGAAGUUCGUUGAAAUCACAUAAAGAUGGUACUUGAACCCAGAUCACUAGUAUCCAACACCUAUUUUAUCAACUAAGCUACCAAGGAGUGUCAUACUGCCCUAACUAUCUGGUUUGGGGCAUACCGAACCAUACUGAGAGCGGAUUAGCAUGGUUCCGCUCUUCGGUUCAAAAAAAUUCCACGAGGGAGGGGAGAUUCAGGAAGAGAGAGAGGAAAAGAGGGAGGGAGGGAGAUGGAGAGGCUGAGAGAGGACUCGAAAGUCCUCAUCUCGUCUUCCAUCCAUUGUUCGUAGGGGUCACCCUUGUUUCGAUCCGCAGGGGUCAUCCCUGUUUCCCCUUGUUUUGAUUGAAACAGGGGCCAUGCUGUAUUUUUUUUCAAAUUCAUCAUUGUAGUCGGCAAAUGGAGGACGGCCUCUGUUUCGGUCAAAAGUGGGGCAACCACUAUGAACGGCGGAUGGAGGACGAGAUGAAGGCUUUUGAGCCCUCUCUCAGCCUCUCUCUCUUCCUCUCCCUCUCUCUCUCCUACUCCCUUCCUCCCUCUCCCUCCCCUUUCUCUUUCUCUCUCUUCUUCUCCCUCUCCCUCUCCCUCGCCAGCUCUAGCCUUGUUGGUAUGGCUUGGAACGAUAUGGCAUGGCGGUGUACCGUACCAUAUUGCUAGGCAAGCGACUGGUACCGGCAUAGCCAACCUUAGUUGGUACCCUUAUAUUCCAUCUAUUCUUGGUUAUGUGAUGUGGAAUCAGGACAAUGGGUGAUUACAAUGACCAUUUUUAUUUGUCAAUAUAUUAAUCUUAAAUCCUUUCGGUGGUUUCCUUAUGUCUUGAGACUCUAGCCUCUAGGACUGUAAAUAUCAAUUCUGAAAAUUGAUACUAGAAAAUGCUUGCCAUUAUGUGGCUUGGUUUUCUUUCUUGUUCCCUGUUCGUGAAAUUCUAAUUUAAUUUCCAGGUAUUGAUAGGGUUCUUAUUAGUCAAUCGAGGGUUAUGAAGAAAAUGUUUAUUUGUUACUCCUAUUAAAGGGUGAUGAGCAGAUUGCUAUGCAGCAGGCUGUGUCAAGUGGAUUUCAUGAGUGGGGUUUUAGGAUUGGUGCUCCUUGUGUCGUUCGUCUCCAGGAAUCUAUGCUCUAGGUGACAUGAUAUUCUGUUGGAUGAGGUGGAGAAUUUUUAAUCUUCUCUGUUGCUUUAGCCUUGAGAGUCAAACUUGCCAAAAGUAUCUUGGCAUCAGUUUCCUUGUGAACCAGGCUUUUCAGCUAAUGCACCUAAUUCUAAGUCAUCUAUAUCACACCUUACAUGCUUAGGCCUUUGUUAUGUAUUAGAGAAUUUAAUGGGAUCAUGUGAUUUGAUGGAAGCCCCCACUCCUUUUAGAAUAACCACCUAAGUCGCGCUUUUGGAUCUUCUUUUAGUUACUAUAUGAUACUUUAUGGACAUGUCACAGUGAAGCUCCUAGCCACUUAUGGGGGGCAAUCAAAAUAGUUAAAUGCGGUCCCUUAAUGAUAUAUGCACUCCCUUUCAUGCAUUGGAGAUGGUACUAGUAGAAUGCAUCUAUAGGAAAUAUGAAUGUUUAUCAAUUGUUGAAAAAUCUUCAACUUAAUUUUUGAGUCAUGUUCCCUAGUAUGGUGAGUGUACUUGGGUUUCAUGUACUCUACUGCUUAAAAUUGCCUUGGAAAGGAAUUUGAUACCACUCUUAGCAAGUUGACACUAGGUUCAUAGCUGGUUGUGGAGAUCUUUAUAGUCCUGUUAGGCGUCCUUUUGUUCCAUGGCUGCCCCACUUUGAUUUAAAAAAGGCUGGAUGUGAUGAUUCUUCUCAAGCAAAAAUGAUUGGUUGAAGUAGGGCUUCGAGAGAAAAUUGCCAUUAUUUCGUAAAUGUCAUAUAAGCAUGAGUUACUUAGGUCAAUCAAUCGGAAGACUAACAUCAAGCUUAGGCUGUCAUUAUCAGGAACUGGCCCCUAAUGUGGAUAUUGUGUGCUGUUACUGUCAGUAUGUCUCAUGACAACUGAUAUUUGUUCAUUUUAGCUCUGACUCCAAAUACAUUAACAAUUCAUUAGCUGUAUCUGGUUGAGAGUGUUUUGAGCAAUAGAAAAGGCUGACCAGUUACUGCUAAAACCUUUAUAGAUCAACCAACUUUUCUGAUGAGUCUUCCUAUGCUUCUUUUAGCCACUAGAUUUCUUAAAAUCGUCAUCUGGGCUUGGUUAAAAGGAACAUCUGUUACAUUAGCACUGCUCUUCUGUGUCUAGUCUUGUAGCUGCUGAAUUAGAUUAUUCAAAUGAGAAACAAAAUAAAUAACCAUUAGAAGAAGAUGGCAUGUACCAUAUACUUGACUGCAGUAUCAUUAUAUUUCUCUGGCCAAGUCACAUUAUGACCACUGCGGAGAUGUGCCGCAUGGUGACUUUGACUGGCUUUUGGAGCAAAAUCUAGAACUUAUGGUAAGGUGGGGUUAAGCAUGCAUAUACUCUGGCAUUCAUGUACAUUGUUCAUGUAUAAGCAAGUAUAGGCUUAACCAAAUACAUGCAGAUAUUAAUGUAUGAACAUCUGUAAUUUUCUAACUAAUCUUCAAUUUCAUCUUCUUGUUCAAUUAUUUCAAAGCUUUUAUCCAUCACUGAAAUGGUUCUGUGACUAUGACCUGACUUCACACCAGAUCAGAUUUAUGGAUUUUCUUGUCACCAUAGCAUCAUGGAUUUGGGUAUGAGUAUUCAUGGUUCUAACAAUGACGUGUUUUUGACCAACUCACAACUUUCUAUUAACUCAGCAGGGUCCUUCCCAUGCACCUUCUUGUGCUAAGAUUAUAACUACUGCAGAAGUUAUAGUUAUCUGGUUGAAUGUGCUUAAGACAAAUUAAUCAGAGUGAAAUAUUUGUCCAGUGUAUCUGUUUAUUCAUGUUAUUUUUCCUGAUCUUGCUAUUUCUGGCUGGCAUUGGUCAAUUUAAAUGUCCAUCAUGACCACUUUUGGCUUUCUUUUCUGUCCAAUUUUAAUUUGAAUUUUUCUCAUAAAAAGGAGCUGAUAGGCAAAAACUGAUUUUGCUUUUGCAGAGAUAAAACUAACCAGCACUAGUCCAACAAGCAUUACUUCACCUGACAUCACAGCAUGGCCCAAGAGAAUCAAACAAUCAUCCCUGUUGAUCCAGCAAGCUUUCCUUCAAGGCGUAAACGAGGUCGUCCUCGUAAGCACGAUGGUCCUGGAUGUGAACCACGUAGGAGAAACCGGCAGUUUCAAGCUACUGCAACUCAAGCAUUUCCAGCACAGGCUCCUUCAUCUCAUGCUAAUCCAAUUGCCAGUUCCAGUCGUGGGCCUUGUGGCCUCAUAGGUCAGAAAGUCUCUGGUAUUCUGGAGGGGAUUUUCGAUGCGGGAUAUCUUCUCACUGUUCGAGUAGGUGAGACUGGACCUGUCUUCAAGGGUUUGGUGUUUGAUCCACACCUGUCUGUUCCUCUCACUGUGGAUAAUGAUAUUGCACCACUUCUUCCAAUGUCAAGAAGCGAUGAAAUCUUAUAUCAGGUUGGCCAUGCACCAACCAAGGAGCCAGUUUCACCACCAAUCCAUCCUGUAUCGAAAAUGGUUACAGCUGCAGUGCCUCUUCAGAUAAGGGAACCUGCUACCCCUUUUCCACCUGUAAACCAUUUACAUGAAUCCUCCAGGCUUCCUCAAACAGCUCCAAGUGCAAAGGAAGCAGAGCGGAAUGAUGCCACCCAUCUCUCUCAGGAUGUGCACCCUGCUUCACAACCUGACUUGAAAAAAGUACUUAUGGAGACGGCUCCAAGUACAGAGGAAGUUGCGGGGCAUGGUGCCAACCGUCUUCCUCAGGAUAUAUGCCCUGCUUUGCAAACUGAUGUUGACAUAAUACGUCUGGAGAAAGCUCCAAGUACAAAAGUAGCGCAGAAAGAUGCCAUCCAUCUUCCUCAGGAUGUGCGCCCUGCUUUGCAAACUGAUUUAAAAACAUACUUCUGGAGACAUUAUCCAGAAAAGUGGCAAAUGAUGAGCUGCCAAAAUCUCAGCCUGCUGCAUCUCAACAAUCUGUGCCUACGUGCACACAAACAGGACUUUCAUCAGGCCCAUCUUACGUUAUGAACAAUGCCGGGGCAGCAGCCAUCGGAGCUUCUUCAGGAGAUAGAACCGAAAAAAUGGUUGAGACAGCAAAAGGAUGUGUAAAUUCUGAACAUAUUGAAGGAUCAUCAGAUAAUGUUGGUGGAAAGCUCAAUUGUACUGGCCAGGCACCACAGUCGGAUAAGUCCUUGACAGACAAUGAGACAGCUGGUGGCAAUGCAGAUAUUAGUUGCCAGGCGCUGAUAUGCGAUGAGAAGUUGAAGGCCAAUGAAACGUUUGGUGGGAAGAUGGAUUUGGUUGGUGAGGCUCCGCAACUUAAUAUACAAGUAUCAGAAAACAGAGAGCUGCCUGAAGAAUUCCAAAAUGAGAAGGACCAACAAAACCUCUCAGUUCCUUCUACUCCUGAAGUAGUAGCAUCGCAGGUUCAGAUUGAGGAACAGAAGCUUCAGUCAAGUAACAUCUGCCAUAUUGGCAAUGAUGGUUGACUGCCUCUUAGUGGUUCUGCCUAGGUUGGACAGAGACUUUUAUUUUUCUUCCGCUUCUUUUGUCUAUGGUUGUUCGCAAGGUUUUACAGGUCAUGCAGAUGUUUUAAGGUUGAUGUGAACAGGGACUUGAAUGUCGAGGACCUGCAGAUAUCAGGUAUAUGGUUAUUAUGUACUUUAUCUAGCUAACAUAUGACCCCUCUAUCGAAGUUUAUCACUUUAUGAUGGACAUUGUAAUGUUGCUGAAAAUCAGAAAAUAUACUUGAAUGGUUUUGAUCGACCAGUCUGGAUGGUUUAUGGCUUAUAUGCUGCACAUGGUAUGACAGCAAGUUUUAAGGUUUUCCAGAGGUUAUUGGCAUGCUCAAUCCAGUGGAAUUUGCAGGUUAAGCUAGGCUCCAAUAUUCAAUCCUUUUAGUAAAUUCUAUGUGGUGGUUUUCUUUUUGGUUAGCUGAUAUCCAAGAUGGAUGGAUGCAAGAACGGUGGCAAUGGCAGGACAAAUGAUAUUCAUGAAGUCUACUUUCUGUUGAUUGUCUAUGAGAAGUGGCAACUGAUAUUUUGCAAGGACAAACAGAAAUCGGACGUAUAUGAAACUAAUCGUAUUCUGGUCCUCCUUACUAGGAGUUUGGAAGCCUUCUUGCCUUAUAUUAGCCUUGAGAAGGACAUGAUUCAAAAUUUAACCUUUAAAAUGCUGCCACUUAAGCGAAGCUGUUGAAUUAUGCUGUCUGAUGGUUGUCUUUAUUUUACGAUCGUCGAGCAGCAAUAGAGGUGGAUGAAGAUAUCUUGAUGCAUGCUUGUCUGAUUUUGGGCAGGCUUGGUCAAGGAGCCUCAGCCUGCUUUAGAGUUCAAUCGGCACUGGGGGCAGGCGUGGGUUGACAGAAAGCUAUAUUAUUUAAAAAAUAACUCAAUACGAUUCUUGCUUUGGUAUAUUCUCUUUCUUGAUCUCUCUCUCUCUCUCUCUUCCUGUCUUAUUUUUUCCCCCCAAAUUGAUGUCUUAGAUCUCUCCUAGCCAGUUGUUGCAAAGUUAUGCCUUAAUGCUUCAGUAAACAUGGUAGAAAUAUAUAUGAUUGUUUUAAAAUUCAAAAUCUUUUAAUGAUUAAUCGGCACUCCGAUUUAAAUGUACUGUCUGGAUAUAUUGGUUUCAACCAAGGGCGUCGGGAUUCUCUCUCUAAUAUCUUUUAGAGCGCGAAAUUGGCGCUGCUCUCUCGCUCGCGCUCUCUCCCUCUCUUGUGCCCUUUCAUCACUCUCAUUUGCUCCCCCUCCGACGCAUGCAGUCUUCCGUUUGCACCAUCCCUUUCGCAUGAUCCAGAGAGAUCUCCCAACGCAUCAUGUGUUCGACACGAAACGAUUUCUUAGUCCAUCAUCAUUGCUUGAGCUUUAUUUUGUCAAAUUAUUAAUUGGCCGAACCAAUUCAUACGUCAAAUUCCUGUUUUGCCCGCUUGGUUUGAACCGGAUCUUGGAUUUGGCCGGCCCGAGACCUGAGGCGUCUUUGAAGAUUAAUUCUGAUGGUGGAUUGCGUCGUGAAGCUGCCAGUGCUUGUUGUAUGUUUCCAAAAUAAAGAGGAAGUAUGAUUCCAUGUAAAACAAAAUGAAAAAGUUGCUGGAGCGGUUCUGGCAACUUACUCGAAGGACACGUAUUUAAGCCAAUUCCAUGGUCUGAAAAUCAGAAUUAUGCCAAUAUUGGUGAAUGCUCGGUGUUUUGAUUUUGUUGGUGCAAGAUGUUAUCAAACACUCAGUUUUAUUGUAUCCUAGAGGCUUAUUGCAUAUUUUCACGUUAGAUUUGUGAGGAUGAAUAAAGUCUUAAAAAAGUGGCAGCCUUUAAGCUUUUUCUUGUCAAUUUCUGAUUGUUCUCCCAGCUAUUCUAACAUUCCUAAGACUUUAAAGACAUUUUGCAAAAAUGGCAUUUGCAACACUUGGAUGGAUAUAGAAUUUGCCAAAUCAGAAUGCUUUAAUGGAGAAAAUUUUUAAAGUGACAGAUGUGCUUUCUUCUCGGUAAACUGAGAAGGUACAUUUUAGUAUCAGAAAAUAAUAAUAAAGGAUAUUACAUAAUACUUUCAAUUAUCUCAUUAUUUAUACUAUAAAAACUAUUUUCAUAAAGUAUUUUUAAUUUAUAAAUUAUUAAUUUUAUAUUUAAUUAAAAAAAUAAUAAAUAAUAAAAUUCUAUAUCUAGCCUAAAAAAUAAUAUUAUAUGAUAUUAUUUUUAUCUUUUAGAGUAGUGAGAAAGCUAUUUUAAAUUUGUCAUCAAACAUCUCAAAAUCACAAUAAAAAGUUUUUAGCUUUCUAAGAAAAGCAAUAACGAGCGGAGCCUAAACCUGCUAUGCUUGAGGGUCAUAUUGUGAAAGUUCUUCAACAUAAAUCUUCGCCAUGCUUCUUAAACAAACAAAUGUCAACAUUUCUCCUUGGUGUGCUAGAAAAGUAGAAAUACCUCUCUUAUUUGGAAAGCCGCUAUCAAUAUUUUGAUACAGAUAAAGGUAGGUGUCGGAAUGGGGACAGGUAAAGGUCUGAAUACCAAUCAGGCUCAUCAUCCUCUGGUUGUUUGAUCUUCUUCUUUGUAGAAAACCUACUUACAUGACAAAUGAGUCCUAUGGUCUCCAGGUAAGUUAUCAUAUUGAAGAUGGUCAAUGGAAUCGGGCUAAAAUUGCUACGUAUUAGAUUUUGAAUUUUUGAGCAUCCCUAUCGCCUACAUAAAUAAUGAAGAUGGGUGGCUAUAUGUGGCUCCGAUGGUAAGAGGUUGGGGGCUAGCCAACUCCAUCUAUACGUUUCUUGAUUCUCAUGUUUUCCUGUACCAAGCUAGUGAGCUGUUGCAAGUUUGGAAGAAGAUAUGGAAACUGAAGGUGGCACAAAGGAUCAACGUGUCCUGCUGAAAACCUUAUCCAUGGUAGGCUGGCCACAGAUCUUGCUGACGAGCUGGGUGCGACUUUCGAUGGAGCUAAACCAAGCUCUACUUCUUUGACUAGAGAAGACAACAGUAACGGUCGAGAUUUCUCCUUUAAGAGGCCGGUGAAGGUGGGUGGUGGCUUAAAUCUUGAAGGUAGAAGGGGUUACUUGUGCAGCGAACAUGGCCAUGGGGUUGUGUCACUUUGUGCCAAGUUUCUGGACACCCGAAGAGGGUAUGCCCUUCUGCUCAAAAACCAUUUGUUUCUCAGAGUUCGGCCCCGGCUGCUCCAACGGUGGGAUCCUUUAGUCGAAUUUAUAGCAUUCUAUGGGAAGCAUUUGGCUGCUUAUGAAGUAGUAGCAUUCAUCGAGAGGGUGGAAGACAUCCCCCCGUUUGUCUUCCUGUGUCUGGCGGGCUUCAAGUAUAAGAUCUCCAUUCAGAAGCAUGGCUUCUCUAUUCGGUAAGUUGGGCAAGAGGAGGUGCUGGAGGUCGACUCGGAGCUGAGCAACUGCCAUAAUGAGCAAGAAACAAAAGCUGGUGCAGCUACAGGUAGUGGUGGUGGAGCACAGUGAUCGUUUGAAAGUAAAAACUCUGGCUUAGAAUGUGGACAAUUGCGAAGCUUCUUUGGCUUUGGAUGCGAUUAAGGAAUCUGGAAUCUAGAGAAGAUUGAUAUAGGGUUGAAGGGGAUUUUGAUGAUCAGCAUAUUGUCUCAAAGCUCCUGCGGAGUGACAUGCAGCCGUUGGGAAGACAACGCGGUUUUGCCAAGGAAUCCUCGUGUUGCCAUGCAAAACUAGAUUUUUCACUAGCACCCUCAACAACAAUAUCAAAAGAAUCCUAAUGUUGACAAACCCAAAUUUCGAAUUGAAAAUUUCACACACUAUUGUCUCCGCAAACAUAAAUAAAAUCUAUUAUUUUGAUCCAAAGAUGAUAAGUAAAAUUAUCAAAGAUUUCACCAACAUGAAUACUCUACAACCUCAAAAUAAAAUCAACUCCAAUGAGAAAAUAUGCCAAUAUGCAAUAUCUUCAAGCACAUUUUCCUCUUACAUGCCAUUUUCAUGCAUGAUCCAGAAUAUGCUAAUUAGAUAUCAUAAAAAAUCUUUAUUAACCUCAAUAUUAAUUAACUUCUUAUGAAUGAAUCCUAGAUUGCUACUAAGUAAUUAAGUUUAAAACUAAGUAAUAUCGUAGUAUACCACUAAAAUUACUUAAAUAACUAAUAACUAAUAAAUUCCUUAGCAAAUCCUCUUAUACUUAAUUUAGAUUUAAAUCAAACUAUUCAGAACCUUAAACACAAA
Molecule: long non-coding RNA, 9928 nt
Filed under: Phoenix dactylifera (date palm)
Lineage: Eukaryota; Viridiplantae; Streptophyta; Magnoliopsida; Arecales; Arecaceae
Description: long non-coding RNA (PDAC_LNC005395)
Source: RNAcentral